RNAcentral lists this ribosomal RNA (484 nucleotides) under uncultured bacterium. RNAcentral describes it as "partial 16S ribosomal RNA". It matches the Rfam family "Bacterial small subunit ribosomal RNA", at positions 30 to 507 of the family's 1533-position model. The record is from RNAcentral.
AUUGAACGCUGGCGGCAGGCCUAACGCAUGCAAGUCGAGCGGAUGAAGGGAGCUUGCUCCUGGAUUCAGCGGCGGACGGGUGAGUAAUGCCUAGGAAUCUGCCUGGUAGUGGGGGAUAACGUCCGGAAACGGGCGCUAAUACCGCAUACGUCCUGAGGGAGAAAGUGGGGGAUCUUCGGACCUCACGCUAUCAGAUGAGCCUAGGUCGGAUUAGCUAGUUGGUGGGGUAAAGGCCUACCAAGGCGACGAUCCGUAACUGGUCUGAGAGGAUGAUCAGUCACACUAGAACUGAGACACGGUCCAGACUCCUACGGGAGGCAGCAGUGGGGAAUAUUGGACAAUGGGCGAAAGCCUGAUCCAGCCAUGCCGCGUGUGUGAAGAAGGUCUUCGGAUUGUAAAGCACUUUAAGUUGGGAGGAAGGGCAGUAAGUUAAUACCUUGCUGUUUUGACGUUACCAACAGAAUAAGCACCGGCUAACUUCGUG